RNAcentral lists this ribosomal RNA (482 nucleotides) under Ligophorus leporinus. RNAcentral describes it as "bacterial SSU rRNA". It matches the Rfam family "Eukaryotic small subunit ribosomal RNA", at positions 1361 to 1831 of the family's 1831-position model. The record is from RNAcentral. Lineage: Eukaryota; Metazoa; Platyhelminthes; Monogenea; Dactylogyridea; Ancyrocephalidae.
UAUGCGGCUCUCUGUGGCUGUGCCUCGGUGCUGUCACAGAACCGCAUAAGCAGGUGAAACUUCUUAGAGGGACUGGCGCUCAAAAAGGCGCACGAGAAAGAGCAAUAACAGGUCUGUGAUGCCCUAAGAUGUUCGGGGCCGCACGCGUGCUACAAUGACGAUGCUAGUGAGCAUGAUUAACUUGCCCGAGAGGGUAGGUGAAACUGAUCAAUCAUCGUCGUAACUGGGAUUGGGGUUUGCAAUUGUCCCCCAUGAACCAGGAAUUCCUAGUAAGCACAAGUCAUCAGCUUGUGCUGAUUACGUCCCUGCCCUUUGUACACACCGCCCGUCGCUACUACCGAUUGAAUGGUUUAGCAAGGUUAUUGGAUUGGUGUCUUGCGGUUCACGCUGCUCGACACUGAAAAGAUGACCGAACUUGAUCAUUUAGAGGAAGUAAAAGUCGUAACAAGGUUUCCGUAGGUGAACCUGCGGAAGGAUCAUUG